This 500-nucleotide ribosomal RNA is filed under the name uncultured bacterium. RNAcentral's name for it is "partial 16S ribosomal RNA". It matches the Rfam family "Bacterial small subunit ribosomal RNA", at positions 30 to 523 of the family's 1533-position model. The record is from RNAcentral.
AUUGAACGCUGGCGGCAUGCUUUACACAUGCAAGUCGAACGGUAACAGGGUGCUUGCACCGCUGACGAGUGGCGAACGGGUGAGUAAUGCGUCGGAACGUGCCGAGUAGUGGGGGAUAACGCAGCGAAAGUUGUGCUAAUACCGCAUACGUACUGAGGUAGAAAGUGGGGGACCUUCGGGCCUCACGCUAUUCGAGCGGCUGACGUCUGAUUAGCUAGUAGGUGAGGUAAAGGCUCACCUAGGCGCGGAUCAGUAGCGGGUCUGAGAGGAUGAUCCGCCACACUGGGACUGAGACACGGCGCAGGAUCCUACGGGAGGCAGCAGUGGGGAAUUGUGGACAAUGGGCGAAAGCCUGAUCCAGCCAUGCCGCGUGUCUGAAGAAGGCCUUCGGGUUGUAAAGGACUUUUGUCAGGGAGGAAAUCCCUAGUGCUAAUAACACUGGGGGAUGACAGUACCUGAAGAAUAAGCACCGGCUAACUACGUGCCAGCCGCCGCAGUAA